GAUGAACGCUGGCGGCAUGCCUAAUACAUGCAAGUCGAACGAAGUCUUUAGGAAGCUUGCUUCCAAAGAGACUUAGUGGCGGACGGGUGAGUAACACGUGAGCAACCUGCCUUUCAGAGGGGGAUAACGGCUGGAAACGGUCGCUAAUACCGCAUGACAUAUUCGAGUGGCAUCACUUGGAUAUCAAAGGAGCAAUCCGCUGAAAGAUGGGCUCGCGUCUGAUUAGAUAGUUGGUGGGGUAACGGCCUACCAAGUCGACGAUCAGUAGCCGGACUGAGAGGUUGAACGGCACAUUGGGACUGAGAUACGGGCCCAGGACUCCUACGGGAGGCAGCAGUGGGGAAUAUUGCACAAUGGGGGAAACCCUGAUGCAGCAACGCCGCGUGAAGGAAG
Molecule: ribosomal RNA, 393 nt
Filed under: uncultured bacterium
Lineage: Bacteria
Description: bacterial SSU rRNA
Rfam family: Bacterial small subunit ribosomal RNA
Source: RNAcentral